Non-coding RNA from Mycena leptocephala, 88 nucleotides. Lineage: Eukaryota; Fungi; Basidiomycota; Agaricomycetes; Agaricales; Mycenaceae. The record is from the annotation of a GenBank genome assembly.
GUCCCUGUGGAUCAAUGCAGAUCACUCCAUUCAAUUAAGGGGCAUGCAAAGUACUGGAGAGACGGGCGUUCGAUUCGCCCCGGGGACA